RNAcentral lists this long non-coding RNA (5864 nucleotides) under Sus scrofa (pig). Its description in RNAcentral is "lncRNA (ENSSSCG00015017871.1)". Lineage: Eukaryota; Metazoa; Chordata; Mammalia; Artiodactyla; Suidae. The record is from RNAcentral.
UUCUAGGGCUGCUCCGGCAGCAUAUGGAGGUUCCCAGGCUAUGGGUCUAAUCGCAGCUGUAGCCACCGGCUUACGCCAGAGCCACAGCAAUGUGGGAUCCGAGACGCGUCUGCAACCUACACCACAGCUCAUGGCAAUGCUGGAUCCUUAACCCACUGAGCAAGGCCAGGGAUCGAACCCUCAACCUCAUGGUUCCUAGUCGGAUUCAUUAACCACUGCACCAUGAUGGGAACUCCUAUAAAUAUUUUAAAUUACAUUUUUUUUAACAUGGUGAUACAAAGUAAUUAAGAUCUUGGGUUUUCUGUUAGAGUCCACCAGCUUGAGACCAAUUUCAAAUCCUAACUUUCUAGUUAUGUUAGUUAACCUCUCUAAACAUCAGUUUCCUUAUCUGUAGAAUCUUAGGUAUAAGUAAUUACUAAGAGUUAUGAUGAGUCUAUGAGUUAAUACCAACUAGCAUUUUACAUAAAGCCCAACAGCCAUAAUAAAUCAAUAAAUUAUUUACAAAAUAAAAAAAAAGUAUGGUCAUAUUUUGCCCUUUAGACAAACUAUGCCAAAAUAAAAAAAAAAAAGUGACAAGCUAUAUUUUUAAAAAAUUUCCUUUCCCUUUUUAACAUAAAUUACUGCAUACUUAAAAAUAGAAGAGAACAGGUUGUGAGAACUCUAAAUAAUCAACCAGAGUAGUUUUAUACAUUUUAGUGACUGCUCAGGAAUGUAAAAGGACACUUUGUUGGUGUCAAGAAAAAUGAAUUGUAUACACUCUCUGCUACCAUAAUAGCUGAGUGAGGUCCAUUACUGUCCUAUGAUUCAUGGAUUCUUUUAGAAAUUUAAUACUUGCUAACUGAAUACCCACUGUGUGCUGUCACUGCACAGGCUCUAAAACUAAACCAAUGAUUGUCACUUGUAAUUGUCUCCACUGAAACCCACAGUAAGAUCAUUGGUCUGGUAAAUAAGUAUCAAUUAUUUUUCAGUAUGAAUUUUUCAUUGUGGUGUCAAGUAUUUUAAAUGUGAUCUCUGAUUCCCCAAGGCACAAUUUAAGGGCACUUAAAUUGUCUUAUAGCUUUUUUCAACUUUUCUUUUCCCCACUAUAUUGUAUAGUCAUUAAGGGUGAUUUCCAGAGUUUUCGUUUUUUUUUUUUUAAUUCCUCAAAUCUAAUAUAGUAGGAACCUAACAAAUACUUAGGGUAUUCCACUGAUAUCUGCCCUUGGAAGCCAUAAGAAGAUAUAGAUUAUAUAUGUUAUUAUCUUCUGUGACUAGGGGCAUGCUAUGUUACUUCUUUACUUGAGCAAAUUAGUGGCCUACUAAUAAACUAUUACAUCUUCUGUUGUUGCAGUGGAGUGUAUCUAUAGAGAAAAGGCUUAUUGACAAUGUCUUAUUGACAUUAGAACUUAGCUGAAUUCUUGGCUCAAGCUGGGUAAUCAUCAUCAAAGUCACUUCCCUACACUAUAAUAUCUCUGUAUAAAUUUGAAAUAAUACCAUUGAAUGAUCUUAGAGAAAAAAAAAAUAGGGAUUGUGGCUAUAAAAACAAAGUGAAAUAUUAUUUGAAGGAAUUAAAAAAAUAAAGCCGGUUCAACUUGAUGCAGGAUAUCAUUCUUUUACUUUUUAAAGGAAGAAUCUAGUAAUUAGCUAGACUUUUACAUGACACUUAUAAGCACAUCUUACGCAACUCAAAAAGGAUAGGCCAGUUUUUCAGGCCUAAAAUUCCUGUUUGUUUUGCACCAACAGCAAUUCCUUUCUUUGAGUAUGGAACACUUUUAAUAUUUAAGAAUCGCUUAUAAAAUUAUGAUUACUUUGAUCCAGCAUCACUUAAUUUCUUGCAUAUUAGCGGAUUUUGCAUCAUGUUCAAAUGAGACAAAAAUAUUGAGUUUCACCAGAACAGAAAACCCAAAUAAACAAAAUAAGAAACAAAAAUGGAGAAAUCUCAAUGGAUACUACAGAAAUAUAAAAAAACAAAAACAUAAUACUAUAUGAACAAUAAUAUGCCAACAAAUUUGACAACCUAGAAGAAAUGGAAACUUUCUAGAAACACACAAACCACCAAAACUGAAUCAAGAAGAAAUAGAUAAUUUGAACAGUAUGAUCACUAGAAAUGACAUUGGAUUAUGUAAUUUAAAAAAUCCCUACAAACAAAAGCCCAGGACCAGAUGGCUUCACAGGCAAAUUCUACCAAAUAUACAAAGAACUUAUACCAAUCUUUCUUAAACUCUUCUAAAAGAAUGAAGAAGGAACACUCACAAAGAUAUUCAACGAAGCUGCCAACACCCUAAUACUAAAACCAGACAAAGAUACUACCAAAAAAAAGAAAAUUAUAAGCCAAUAUAUUUGAUGAUUAUAGGUGUAAAUAUCCUCAACAAAAUUUUAGCCAAAAAAAUCCAAUAACAUAUCAAAAAGAUAAUUCACCAAUACCAAGUGGGAUUCAUCCCAAGUUCACAAGAAUGAUUCAACAUGCACAAGUCAAUGUCAUACACCACACUAACAAAAGAAAAUUCAAAAGCCACAUGAUCAUCUCAAUAGAUGCAGAAAGAGCAUUUGACAAAAUUUAACAUCCUUUCACGAUAAAAACUCUUACCAAAGUGGAUAUAGAGGGAACGUAUCUCAACAUAAUACAAGCCCACUCUCACCAACAUAGUAUUGGAAGUCCUAGCCACAGCAAUCAGGUGAUAAAAUAAAUAAAAGUUAUCCAAAUUGGAACAGAAGUAGUAAAAUUGUCACUAUAUGCAAAUGACAUGAUACUUACUAUACGUAGAAAAUCCCAAGGACUUCACACAAAACCUACUUGAACUGCAAAUGAAUUCACAAAGUAGCAGGGAUACAAGAUUGACAUUCAGGAAUCUGUUGCAAUUCUGUAUACUAGCAAUGAAAUAUUAGAAAAGGAAUAUAAAAAAAUAAUACCUUUUGAAACUGUACGCAAAAAAUUAAAUAACUAGGAAUAAACCUGACCAAGGGGGUAAAAGACAUACACCGAGAACUAUAAAUUAUUAAUCCAGGAAAUUAAAGAGAAUUCAAAGAAAUAGAAAGAUACAGAUUUGAAGAAUUCUUAUUGUUAGAAUGGCCAUACUAUCCAAAGCAAUCUACAUAUUUAAUGUGAUCUUUAUCAAGUUACCUACAACAUUUUUCACAAAACUAGAACAAAUAAUCCAAAAUUUAUAUGGAACCAUGAAAGACCCCAGAAUUUUCAAAGCAGUUCUGAGGAGGAAAGCACACACACACACACACACCAAACAAAAAGCAGGCAGGAGGCAUAACUCUCCCAGACUUCAUACAAUAUUAUAUCCAAAGUUAAGGGUAAUCAAAACAUUAUGGUAUUGGUACAAAAACAUAAAUACAGAUCAAUGGAAGAGAAUAGAGUCCAGAAAUAAACACAGAUACCUAUAGUGAAUUAAUCUUUGAAAAAGGAUACAAGAAUAUAAAAUGGGGAAAUGACAGUCUCUUUAGCAAGUGGUCCUGGGAAAAUUGGACAGCUGCAUUGAAAUCAAUGAAACUAGAACACACCCACACACCAUGCCCAAAAACCCUCAAAAUGGCCUAAAGACUUAAACAUAAGACAUGACACCAUAAAUUCCUAGAAAAGAACGGAAAAAAAAUCUCUGACAUAAAUCAUACAAAUUUUUUCUUAGGUCAGUCUUCUAAGGCAAUAGAAAUAAAAAUAAACAAAUUGGACUUUAUCAAAUGGGACUUUAUCAAAUUUGUAAGCUCUCACAUCAAAGGAAACCAUAAAAGAAGAAAAGACAGCCUACACAAUGGGCAAAAACACCUGUAAAUGAUGCAACUGACAAGGGCUUAAUCUCCAAAAUAUACAAAUAACCUCACAUAGCUCAACAACAACAAAAACAAACAACCCAACUGAAAAAUGGGCUGAAGACCUAAAUAGACAUUUAUCCAGAGAAUACAUAUAGAUGGCCAAUAGGCACAUGAAAAGAUGCUCAAUAUCACUAAUUAUUAGAGAAGUGCAAAUUAAAACUACAAUGAAAUACCACUCAUACUGGUCAGAAUGGUCAUCAUUAAUAAGUGUACAAAUAACAAAUGCUGAAGAGGGUAUAGAGAAAAGGGAAUCCUUCCAUGCUGUUGUUAGGAAUGUUAAGUUGGUACAACCACUGUGGAAAACAGUGCAGCAGUUCCUCAGAAAACUAAAUACAGAACUACUAUAUGAUCUAGCAAUCCCAGUCCUAUGCAUAUAUCUAGAUAAAACUAUAAUUUAAAAAAAUACAUGUACACUUAUAUUCAUAGCAGCACUAUUCACAAUAGCCAAGCCAUGGAAAUAACCUAAAUGUCCAUCAAUGAUGAAUGGAUUAAGAAGAUGUGGUGCAUAUAUGCAAUGGAAUACUAUUUAGCCAUAAAAAAGAACAAAACAAUGCCAUUUGCAGCAUGGAUGAAACUGGAGAUUUUCAUACUAAGUAAAGUAAGUCAGAAAAAGACAAAUACCAUAUGAUAUCACUUAUAUGUAGAAUCUAAAAUAUGGCACAAAUGAACCUAUUAUGAAACAGAAACAGACUCACAGACAUAGAGAACAGAUUUGUGGUUACCAAGGGGGAAAUGAGAGGAAGAGGGAUGACCGGGAGUUUGGAGUUAGUAGAUGCAAACUAUUACAUUUAGAAUGGAUAAGCAAUGAGGUCUUACUGUACAACACAGGGAACUAUAUCAAGUCUCUUGGGAUAGAACAUGAUGGAAGAUAGUAUGAGAAAAAGAAUAUAUAUAUGACUGGAUCACAGUGCUGUAGAACAGAAAUUGACACAAAACUGUAAAUCAACUAUACUCUAAUAAAAAAUUUAAAAAAUAAAAAAUGAUGUAUACAUAUGUAAAACUGAGUCAAUUUCUAUACAGGGAAAAUUGGGCCAAUGUUGUAAAUCAACUAACUUUUAUAAUAAGAUAAAUAUAAAAGUAGCCAGGAACUACACCUGGGUAGACAACCAGGAGAGGCCACCUCUCAGGUUCAGUUUUUUACAUUUCAAAUAUGUUUCCUUCUUCAUUGCUAUACUUGUUCAAUAAAUUGUGUAGAUUUUUAACAUUAGCAGAUUCUCAUUAUCAUUAUCAUUGCCAUCACUAGGAAGCAACUGCUGAAGAUCUUAAUAUUAAAAUUUAUUUUCUGGAGUUCCCAUUGUGGUGCUGCAGAAACGAAUCUGACUAGGAACCAUGAGGUUGACUAUUUUUUAAGUACCUUAUAUAUGUUAGAGUUGUCAGAUAAAGCAUAGGAAAUAAAAAAUAAAAUAUGAAAGAAAGCUGAAUUUUCAAUUUCAGAUAAAUAAUGAAUAGAUUUUGUAUAAUGAUGCCUUUUACUAAUUGUUACUCAUACAAAUAUAUUUAGGAUGUUUAUCUGAAAUUCAAAUUUAACUGAGUUUUAGUUUACUUCUUUGCUAAAUCUGACAAAGCUAUAUACCACAUGAUUUACUCCUCACACAACUCAAUAUUAUUGUUCAUGUUUUUAUAGAUUUAAUGAGAUAGAGUUUGAGUAUCUAUUCUAAAGAUACUAAGAGCUGCAUGAUUUGUAGGUGUCAAAGCUAGUCUUCUAAAUCAAAGAGUUUGGCUCUAAAGCACUGUUUUUAACUUCCACUCCUAUCAUCUCUUUCAGUUAAAGAAACACUGUUUUCUAGCAAGAGGUAAGUUAUAGUCAGAUCCAACUUAAAAGGAAAGACAAAAAUUAGACAAUGACAUUCCUCAGUUUCCAGGUCUCACAGGAUAAAGGCAAAAAACUACAAGUCCAUUUAAUCAACAUUGCUGAUUUCAAGUUCUUGAUCCAGUAAAAGUUGAUUAUCAACUAAACACAACAUAAUUUACCCUGUUGUGACAGUGCACUGAGAGAGUGGCUAAUUUCAACUGAGAUUCUCCAGAACUUUCGUAUGCUUUUGCUUUUUAUCCAGCAUGACCUGUGC